GACGAACGCUGGCGGCGUGCCUAAUACAUGCAAGUCGAGCGAACAGAUGAAGAAGCUUGCUUCUUCUGACGUUAGCGGCGGACGGGUGAGUAACACGUGGGCAACCUACCUUAUAGUUUGGGAUAACUCCGGGAAACCGGGGCUAAUACCGAAUAAUCUAUUUCUUCUCAUGAAGGAAUACUAAAAGACGGUUUCGGCUGUCGCUAUAAGAUGGGCCCGCGGCGCAUUAGCUAGUUGGUGAGGUAACGGCUCACCAAGGCAACGAUGCGUAGCCGACCUGAGAGGGUGAUCGGCCACACUGGGACUGAGACACGGCCCAGACUCCUACGGGAGGCAGCAGUAGGGAAUCUUCCACAAUGGGCGAAAGCCUGAUGGAGCAACGCCGCGUGAGUGAAGAAGGAUUUCGGUUCGUAAAACUCUGUUGUAAGGGAAGAACAAGUACAGUAGUAACUGGCUGUACCUUGACGGUACCUUAUUAGAAAGCCACGGCUAACUACGUGCCAGCAGCCGCGGUAAUACGUAGGUGGCAAGCGUUGUCCGGAAUUAUUGGGCGUAAAGCGCGCGCAGGUGGUUCUUUAAGUCUGAUGUGAAAGCCCACGGCUCAACCGUGGAGGGUCAUUGGAAACUGGGGAACUUGAGUGCAGAAAANGAUAGUGGAAUUCCCAGUGUAGCGGUGAAAUGCGUAGAGAUUGGAGGAACCCCGGGGGCGAAGGCGACUAUCUGGUCUGUAACUGACACUGAGGCGCGAA
This 749-nucleotide ribosomal RNA is filed under the name uncultured bacterium. Its description in RNAcentral is "bacterial SSU rRNA". It matches the Rfam family "Bacterial small subunit ribosomal RNA", at positions 28 to 757 of the family's 1533-position model. The record is from RNAcentral.